CAGUCGCCGCGGGAAUACGAAGGGGGCUAGCGUUGCUCGGAAUCACUGGGCGUAAAGGGUGCGUAGGCGGGUCUUUAAGUCAGGGGUGAAAUCCUGGAGCUCAACUCCAGAACUGCCUUUGAUACUGAGGAUCUUGAGUUCGGGAGAGGUGAGUGGAACUGCGAGUGUAGAGGUGAAAUUCGUAGAUAUUCGCAAGAACACCAGUGGCGAAGGCGGCUCACUGGCCCGAUACUGACGCUGAGGCACGAAAGCGUGGGGAGCAAACAGGAUUAGAUACCCCGGUAGUCCCUGUCUCUUAUAC
RNAcentral lists this ribosomal RNA (301 nucleotides) under uncultured bacterium. RNAcentral describes it as "partial 16S ribosomal RNA". It matches the Rfam family "Bacterial small subunit ribosomal RNA", at positions 509 to 807 of the family's 1533-position model. The record is from RNAcentral.